UACGAUAAUUCGGGAAAACUAACACUCCAUCGCAGUUUACUUUGCGAUCAGAGGAGGUAAACAUCACACUUUUAUAAGAGUUUAUUAAGGAGAAAACACGUUUUUUCGUGAUAACUUUUCUUGCCGCCUUUUGUUUUUAAUGAAAAGUACACAUAAGUUGUAUCUUAUUAUUAUUAAAGUUUCCUAAAAAUUUGAAAGAAAUUGAUACGACGGAAGUUAAAAAACUGGAGAAAACACGCUUUCGUCUCUAACAAACUCUUAUAAAAACACGAUUUUUACCUCCUUUUUUCCGAUAUUGUAAAACGAUGGAGAGCCGUAGGAACGCAUGUACAAUUGAAUUAUCGUAAAGGUGUAUUGCGGGAAGCACCUCAAGUGGCUAGAAUAAAUGAAAGCAAUUGUAUGCUAGCUAAGUUAAAUGAAGAAGUUUUGAAUUUGGAAACCCUUUAAGAUAUUAAAAGGCUUGGAAAUGCUGGAGGGAAGUAUUGUUGCCACGUGUGCCAUGUUGUUGUCUUGAACCAAACCUUCAUCCUGCCUCUGCAAAAGACAAUAAAUACAUUGCUUUAAAGAAUAGAUAUAUUGAUGUCAGCCAUGAUGAAUAUUCUUCUGACAAUGAAAAUCACCAUCAAUUAAAGAAUACAGGAGAUUCAUUAUGAAUCCUUAUAAUAUUGGAAAACUGUAAACAAUGGAUAUAUCUAUAUAUCAAAUGGAUGGAUAUGAUAUCAAAUUAACUUGUACUGAUAGAAAUGAUUUUCACGUAAAAUGAUACAGAUCGAAACAAGAAUUGCAUGUUAAAGAACGUUCUGCUACAGACUGCAAGCCAAUAAAUAUGUCAUGUUAACUUAUGCAUAUGAGUAGAAUUUGUAUAUAUAUAUAUAUGUUGCUUUUUGUAUGAGAAUCUUCAGAAUUUGUCUAGUUACUAAAACUUUCUUAAAGAUUUCAAAGUAUUAAACUACUUUUUAAACAUAGUUGACAGAGGCAUGUGAGGGUAAAUAAUAUGCAGACAUGUUAUGUGUUUUGAUGUUAUUUUUCUGAUUUCUAACUCUUUUCUGGAUUAAUAAACUGCUUAACUUUUGUGAAAAAUUUUUAACAAUAAAAUUAAUGCUUAAUAGAAAUUGGUGCAAAACUACACCAGUAACCUUAAUAUUAAACUAUAUUUACUUCAUAAAGGGGUAACUACUAUAUACUUUUUGUAGACGUUUAUUAUGCGUUGCUAUCUUACACAUGCUGCUUUUGUUUUUGCAUUUGCUGGUUGUUAACACAGGCUGUAAUUUUCCAAACAAUAUUUCUACGUUGCACUGCUGUUGACUAUCUAUUCCUAAAAUUGUCUUGUAAUGUAAUUUUUUGUGGUAUUAUUAGCUAUUAAACUUAAAUAAAGUAACUCCCCAAAUUUGUAACUUGGCGAUUACUUGUACUCGUAUUAAAUGCGUAAAAAAUAAAAAAGAUGCUUAGAUGAUACCAGUGUGGUAUGUCAUUCAAAGGAACUGUCGCAACGCUAACCCUGUUUCGAGUCUAAUUUACCAAACGAAGUUUUCCAUCCGCAUGUUUUAGCGAGGAUACCAGUGUUAAACUACGGAGGUUACUUUUAUUUAUUGGGCUAUAAAGACACUUUCGUUUCUAAUCUAGGAAAUUUUUAAUAACUAAAAACCUCUCUUUUGGAAAUAUUUUAGCUACUUUUAUAAUAAAAACACAAAACGCCCGCUUUACCUCGUACAACACCACAACCCUUGAUAUUACUUUGCCAAAAAAUCGGUGAAAUUUUGCCUAACCAGAAAAAAAUUCUACAUCCGCCCCUGGUUAUUGCAGGGUUGUACGGAACAUUUGAUUUAUUGUAUAUAAAAAAGAGUUGACAGGUAUAUAAUAAUGCUUUUUAUUCUUUUGUGUUUCCUUGACAACAUAAUAAGUAGACUAAAUAAUGUUAUUUGGAUAUUAAGCAGUGUGUAGAAUGUUAUAGCGAUGUUAAAAUAAACCACGUAACAAUAUAUUAAGAAUUAUUUUGUGGAACCAAAGCGACAACGUAGUGGUUUAUCCAGUUAUCCAGUUUUUGGAUUUAUUUGUUCCGAAUUAUGUUUCAAAUUAUAGCUGUGGGGAACAUGUUAACAAUAUCGAAAGAUACCAAUUGAGUGUGAUCAGAUAAAUGCUGUAAUGCCAAAAGGAAAAUACUGGGUUAGGCAGCCAAUGAGAACAGACAAAAGAUAUUGCCGAAAGAAACGAUGGUGAAAGCAUUAGAGAACAAAGAAUCCUUACAACAAGUAAAGUGAAGAAACUCAAAGUCGCGAUAACCUAGAUUCACAGCAAGCAUGACGAAUUCAUGGUGGUUCUGUUAAAUUUAAAAUAUGAAAUUAUUGAUAGAUAGACAAUUUGUCAACCAGACCUUAGCUUUUGCAAUCUUAAAGUCCAAUAGACAAGUAAAAAUAAGGGCCUAAAAAUAUUUUUCCGUUCGACUUCCUUUUGAAUAUUUUUCAUUGUGUCGUACUGUAAAACGUUUGUAAUAUUUUCUUGCAUAUUGGGAAAAGCUUCCAAAAGGGAACAAAUCCAUAGUUCAGCUUGUUUUGAUUAACCACACAAAAAGCUUAGG
Molecule: long non-coding RNA, 2575 nt
Organism: Hydractinia symbiolongicarpus
Lineage: Eukaryota; Metazoa; Cnidaria; Hydrozoa; Anthoathecata; Hydractiniidae
Exons: 6
Source: RefSeq, a predicted model, not a curated record